RNAcentral lists this ribosomal RNA (521 nucleotides) under uncultured Glomeraceae. Its description in RNAcentral is "SSU rRNA". It matches the Rfam family "Eukaryotic small subunit ribosomal RNA", at positions 569 to 1092 of the family's 1831-position model. The record is from RNAcentral. Lineage: Eukaryota; Fungi; Glomeromycota; Glomeromycetes; Glomerales; Glomeraceae.
AGCAGCCGCGGUAAUUCCAGCUCCAAUAGCGUAUAUUAAAGUUGUUGCAGUUAAAAAGCUCGUAGUUGAAUUUCGGGAUCAAUAUGUUUGGUCGUGCCUCGGUACGUACUAGCUUAUUGGUUUCUCCUUUCUGAAGAACCAUGAUGUCAUUUAUUUGGUGUCGUGGGGAAUCAGGACUGUUACUUUGAAAAAAUUAGAGUGUUUAAAGCAGGCUCACGCUUGAAUACAUUAGCAUGGAAUAAUGAAAUAGGACGUUUGAUUCUAUUUUGUUGGUUUCUAGGAUCGACGUAAUGAUUAAUAGGGAUAGUUGGGGGCAUUAGUAUUCAAUUGUCAGAGGUGAAAUUCUUGGAUUUAUUGAAGACUAACUACUGCGAAAGCAUUUGCCAAGGAUGUUUUCAUUAAUCAAGAACGAAAGUUAGGGGAUCGAAGACGAUCAGAUACCGUCGUAGUCUUAACCAUAAACUAUGCCGACUAGGGAUCGGAUGAUGUUAAUUUUUUAAUGACUCAUUCGGCGCCUUACG